This 391-nucleotide ribosomal RNA is filed under the name Dasydytes sp. Its description in RNAcentral is "partial small subunit ribosomal RNA". It matches the Rfam family "Eukaryotic small subunit ribosomal RNA", at positions 587 to 975 of the family's 1831-position model. The record is from RNAcentral. Lineage: Eukaryota; Metazoa; Gastrotricha; Chaetonotida; Dasydytidae.
AGCUCCACGAGCAUGUACGUAAGUUGUUGCAGUUAAAAAGCUCGUAGUUGGAUCUCAGACCUGUGGUCAGUGGUCAGCCUUUAAUGGGUUUGUACUGCUGUACCCGGUCUACGUCUGGUUUAACGUCUGUAGUGCCCUUAACCGGGUGCUGCAGAAUGCCAGAAAGUUUACUCUGAAAAAAUUAGAGUGCUUAAAGCAAGCCGUUUGUGCUUGAAUACUGUUGCAUGGAAUAAUGAAAUAGGACCUCGGAUCUAUUUUGUUGGUUUUCGGAGUCGAGGUAAUGAUUAAGAGGGACAGACGGGGGCAUUUGUAUUGCGCCGUUAGAGGUGAAAUUCUUGGAUCGGCGCAAGACACACGACUGCGAAAGCAUUUGCCAAGGAUGUUUUCAUUA